RNAcentral lists this ribosomal RNA (465 nucleotides) under uncultured Saprospiraceae bacterium. Its description in RNAcentral is "bacterial SSU rRNA". It matches the Rfam family "Bacterial small subunit ribosomal RNA", at positions 28 to 505 of the family's 1533-position model. The record is from RNAcentral. Lineage: Bacteria; Pseudomonadati; Bacteroidota; Saprospiria; Saprospirales; Saprospiraceae.
GAUGAACGCUAGCGGGAGGCUUAAUACAUGCAAGUCGAGGGGUAACAUGAGAGCUUGCUCUUGAUGACGACCGGCGCACGGGUGAGUAACGCGUACACUACCUACCUUAGACUGGGGGACACACACUGGAAACGGAGUAAAUACCCCAUGGUAUCGUAAGAUUAAAGCUUCGGCGGUCUAAGAUGGGUGUGCGUACUAUUAGAUAGUUGGUGAGGUAACGGCUCACCAAGUCGACGAUAGUUAGGGGGCGUGAGAGCGUGACCCCCCACACGGGUACUGAGACACGGACCCGACUCCUACGGGAGGCAGCAGUAAGGAAUAUUGGACAAUGGGGGCAACCCUGAUCCAGCCAUCCCGCGUGAAGGAUGACGGCCCUCUGGGUUGUAAACUUCUUUUAUAUACCAAGAAUAGCAGAUAUUUAUAUUUGUAUGACGGUAGUAUAUGAAUAAGCACCGGCUAACUCCG